RNAcentral lists this long non-coding RNA (794 nucleotides) under Gallus gallus (chicken). Its description in RNAcentral is "long non-coding RNA NONGGAT005110". Lineage: Eukaryota; Metazoa; Chordata; Aves; Galliformes; Phasianidae. The record is from RNAcentral.
GAAACUGCUUGGAUGUGGCCUGGUGGGAUUUCAUGUGCUCUGAUUUCACGUUGCUCAGAGCGCUAAUUGCAGCACAUGGCUAAGGGCGAGUGUACCUCCAGGCCAGAUGGAAUUGAACUGGAAGUGAACAUUGCUGGUCUCGGAAAUGGGCUUAUGCUGGGGCCAGAACUGACUGGGAAUACUUCCCUGGAACUUCUGCUGCCUCAGCAAAAUAUCUACCAAGAAAUUAUGGAAUCGAGGCCAAAUGGAGCAGGAUUCAUCCAGGAGAUGAAAGCUCAGAGUUGAACCAAACCUGUUUCGGAGCAGUUUUAGACUGAAACGUUUCUGUGUUUCCCACUCUGACAUCCUGAAAUUCCUCGUGGAAGGAAUCUUUGCCCUCUGCAUGGCCUCCUAUAGUCCAGACAGAUGGAUGCAUGAGAUGGAGAAGGAAGGAGGAGAAUGAGGAGGCAGUGUGGAGCAGAACGGCAAUCCUGGGAAAGGAUCCUGGUCCAGUUGCUAUGGAUGGUAGGAUGUGGUCCUACAACCUCCCCCACAGGAUGUGUGGGUCCGGGACUGGCCCAAGCACGUGUCCCACUCCUGAUGCAGCCCGGGGUGUACAGAGGUUGUUUUUCACCGAAUGGAGGUUUUUCCCUGAGGUUUGUGCAAGAUGCUCUCAGAGAGAGCUAUAAAUACCGCAGUGCUUCCUGUGCGGCUCUGCGAGGAGGAAGCUGCUUCCCCAGCAGGGGAAGGAGGCAGCGGGCGUCCCGGUGGAACAGGGCCACGGGAUGUAGAUUCCAAUCUGCAGGUAGUGAAUG